Molecule: ribosomal RNA, 301 nt
Filed under: uncultured bacterium
Lineage: Bacteria
Description: partial 16S ribosomal RNA
Rfam family: Bacterial small subunit ribosomal RNA
Source: RNAcentral
CAGUCGCCGCGGUAAUACGUAGGGUGCAAGCGUUAAUCGGAAUUACUGGGCGUAAAGCGUGCGCAGGCGGUUAUAUAAGACAGAUGUGAAAUCCCCGGGCUCAACCUGGGAACUGCAUUUGUGACUGUAUAGCUAGAGUACGGCAGAGGGGGAUGGAAUUCCGCGUGUAGCAGUGAAAUGCGUAGAUAUGCGGAGGAACACCGAUGGCGAAGGCAAUCCCCUGGGCCUGUACUGACGCUCAUGCACGAAAGCGUGGGGAGCAAACAGGAUUAGAGACCCAGUAGUCCCUGUCUCUUAUACC